RNAcentral lists this ribosomal RNA (432 nucleotides) under uncultured bacterium. RNAcentral describes it as "partial 16S ribosomal RNA". It matches the Rfam family "Bacterial small subunit ribosomal RNA", at positions 29 to 506 of the family's 1533-position model. The record is from RNAcentral.
AACGAACGCUGGCGGCAGGCCUAACACAUGCAAGUCGAGCGAGACCUUCGGGUCUAGCGGCGGACGGGUGAGUAACGCGUGGGAACGUGCCCUUUUCUGCGGAAUAGCCUCGGGAAACUGAGCGUAAUACCGCAUACGCCCUUUGGGGGAAAGAUUUAUCGGAAAAGGAUCGGCCCGCGUUGGAUUAGGUAGUUGGUGGGGUAAUGGCCUACCAAGCCUACGAUCCAUAGCUGGUUUGAGAGGAUGAUCAGCCACACUGGGACUGAGACACGGCCCAGACUCCUACGGGAGGCAGCAGUGGGGAAUCUUAGACAAUGGGGGCAACCCUGAUCUAGCCAUGCCGCGGGAGUGAUGAAGGCCUUAGGGUUGUAAAGCUCUUUCAGCUGGGAAGAUAAUGACGGUACCAGCAGAAGAAGCCCCGGCUAACUCCGU